Labrus bergylta (ballan wrasse) is the source of this 140-nucleotide small nucleolar RNA. Ensembl annotates it as small nucleolar RNA SNORA79. The record is from Ensembl. NCBI's taxonomy places the organism in Eukaryota, Metazoa, Chordata, Actinopteri, Labriformes, Labridae.
UGACGUCGGUUCCUCCUCCUGUCUGAAGUCCUUCAGGAGGAUUUUACGACGUCACAGAGAAACGGGUCUUUUUCACCCAGAGAGCUUCAGCUGCACCCCAGCGCAAUCAAAGCUUCCUGGUUUUGCAAGACCCGACAAAU